Long non-coding RNA from Zerene cesonia (dogface butterfly), 328 nucleotides. RefSeq lists it as uncharacterized. The record is from RefSeq and is a predicted model, not a curated record. The transcript has 3 exons. NCBI's taxonomy places the organism in Eukaryota, Metazoa, Arthropoda, Insecta, Lepidoptera, Pieridae.
GACGUAAUAUUAGGUUACAAUUUUCAAAGUUAUUAUGUGUCAAUAUAUAAAAAGCACAUGUGGAAUAGGCUUAGCAGUAUUCAUAGAAACAUCACAAUGAAGAUACUUCUGCUUUUAUUCGCAGCUCUAGCUAUCAUUCUGGGAGCCGUGGGUGGGAUGAGUACAGCUCCAAAAGCCGGUCUACAUGCUCCUGAGAAUGCAGCUGGCUGCCACGGUGGGCCACCGCCCCCACCACCUACGAAUAGCACAGGCUAAAUCCCAGAACCACGAGACAAAUGUAAUCUUAUUUCUGCUAUCACAAUGGACCAUGAAUAAAUAAUGCAAAGUA